CAGAGUUCUUGCCCUUACGGGUAGAUCUCCCACCCUUGAAUACAUACCUUUGUUGCUUUGGCGGGCCGCGCUUGCGCUACUGGCUUCGGCUAGUACGUGCCCGCCAGAGGACCACAACUCUUGUUUACAGUGUCGUCUGAGUACUAUACAAUAGUUA
RNAcentral lists this unclassified non-coding RNA (157 nucleotides) under uncultured Cadophora. RNAcentral describes it as "sequence contains ITS1". The record is from RNAcentral. Lineage: Eukaryota; Fungi; Ascomycota; Leotiomycetes; Helotiales.